AAGGAAAGCAGCUUGUAUUUCAGCAGAGGAAUUCCCAGCACCUCCGCAGAAAUAUCGCGGUCGCGGAUCGCAAUGAAGGCGCGGCCAAUACGGGUCCGGAACAGGUUGGCUGCGGCGAACACCAAUAGNNNNNNNNNNNNNGCGGUCAGUGGCACGAACAGCCAGUACAACUGGAACGGACGCACGAAAUCGUAUCCGAACAACCGCGCCGGCUGCAUGCUGAGCCCCUGCGUACCUCCAAGAAUCGACGGUCCGUUUGUGUAUAGGAAAUGCAGAAUGAACGAUGCCGCGAUGGUCGCAAUAGCGAGGUAAAGACCCUUUACGCGAAGGCU
Molecule: unclassified non-coding RNA, 332 nt
Filed under: Hevea brasiliensis (rubber tree)
Lineage: Eukaryota; Viridiplantae; Streptophyta; Magnoliopsida; Malpighiales; Euphorbiaceae
Source: RNAcentral